GACUCCUACGGGAGGCAGCAGUGGGGAAUAUUGGACAAUGGGCGCAAGCCUGAUCCAGCAAUGCCGCGUGUGUGAAGAAGGUUAACGGAUUGUAAAGCACUUUCAGCGGGGACGAUGAUGACGGUACCCGCAGAAGAAGCCAAGGCUAACUUCGUGCCAGCAGCCGCGGUAAUACGAAGGGGGCAAGCGUUGCUCGGAAUGACUGGGCGUAAAGGGCGCGUAACCGGUUGUUACAGUCAGAUGUGACUUUCCCGGGCUUAACCUGGGGGCUGCAUUUGAUACGUGGCGACUAGAGUGUGAGAGAGGGUUGUGGAAUUAACAGUGUAGAGGUGAAAUUCGUAGAUAUUGGGAAGAACACCGGUGGCGCCGGCGGCAACCUGGCUCAUGACUGACGCUGAGGCGCGAAAGCGUGGGGAGCAAACAGGAUUAGAUACCCUGGUAGUCCACGCUGUAAACGAUGUGUGCUGGAUGUUGGGUGGC
RNAcentral lists this ribosomal RNA (480 nucleotides) under Acetobacter sp. RNAcentral's name for it is "bacterial SSU rRNA". It matches the Rfam family "Bacterial small subunit ribosomal RNA", at positions 334 to 831 of the family's 1533-position model. The record is from RNAcentral. Lineage: Bacteria; Pseudomonadati; Pseudomonadota; Alphaproteobacteria; Acetobacterales; Acetobacteraceae.